AACGAACGCUGGCGGCAUGCCUAACACAUGCAAGUCGAACGAGACCUUCGGGUCUAGUGGCGCACGGGUGCGUAACGCGUGGGAACCUGCCCUUAGGUUCGGAAUAACUCCCCGAAAGGGGUGCUAAUACCGGAUAAUGUCUUCGGACCAAAGAUUUAUCGCCUUUGGAUGGGCCCGCGUUGGAUUAGCUAGUUGGUAGGGUAAAAGCCUACCAAGGCGACGAUCCAUAGCUGGUCUGAGAGGAUGAUCAGCCACACUGGGACUGAGACACGGCCCAGACUCCUACGGGAGGCAGCAGUGGGGAAUAUUGGACAAUGGGCGAAAGCCUGAUCCAGCAAUGCCGCGUGAGUGAUGAAGGCCUUAGGGUUGUAAAGCUCUUUUACCCGGGAUGAUAAUGACAGGACCGGGAGAAUAGCUCCGGCUAACUCCGUG
This 432-nucleotide ribosomal RNA is filed under the name uncultured bacterium. RNAcentral's name for it is "partial 16S ribosomal RNA". It matches the Rfam family "Bacterial small subunit ribosomal RNA", at positions 29 to 507 of the family's 1533-position model. The record is from RNAcentral.